RNAcentral lists this ribosomal RNA (468 nucleotides) under uncultured bacterium. RNAcentral's name for it is "partial 16S ribosomal RNA". It matches the Rfam family "Bacterial small subunit ribosomal RNA", at positions 28 to 507 of the family's 1533-position model. The record is from RNAcentral.
GACGAACGCUGGCGGCGUGCUUAACACAUGCAAGUCGAACGGAAAGGCCCUGCUUUUGUGGGGUGCUCGAGUGGCGAACGGGUGAGUAACACGUGAGUAACCUGCCCUUGACUUUGGGAUAACUUCAGGAAACUGGGGCUAAUACCGGAUAGGAGCUCCUGCUGCAUGGUGGGGGUUGGAAAGUUUCGGCGGUUGGGGAUGGACUCGCGGCUUAUCAGCUUGUUGGUGGGGUAGUGGCUUACCAAGGCUUUGACGGGUAGCCGGCCUGAGAGGGUGACCGGCCACAUUGGGACUGAGAUACGGCACAGACUCCUACGGGAGGCAGCAGUGGGGAAUAUUGCACAAUGGGCGGAAGCCUGAUGCAGAAACGCCGCGUGCGGGAUGACGGCCUUCGGGUUGUAAACCGCUUUCGCCUGUGACGAAGCGUGAGUGACGGUAAUGGGUAAAGAAGCACCGGCUAACUACGUG